RNAcentral lists this ribosomal RNA (253 nucleotides) under uncultured archaeon. RNAcentral's name for it is "partial 16S ribosomal RNA". It matches the Rfam family "Archaeal small subunit ribosomal RNA", at positions 474 to 727 of the family's 1478-position model. The record is from RNAcentral.
UACCAGCACCUCAAGUGGUCAGGAUGAUUAUUGGGCCUAAAGCAUCCGUAGCCGGCUCUGUAAGUUUUCGGUUAAAUCUGUACGCUCAACGUACAGGCUGCCGGGAAUACUGCAGAGCUAGGGAGUGGGAGAGGUAGACGGUACUCGAUAGGAAGGGGUAAAAUCCUUUGAUCUAUUGAUGACCACCUGUGGCGAAGGCGCUCUACUGGAUCAUUACUGACACUCAGAGGCGAAAGCUAGGGUAGCAAAAGGG